CUUUGUGGCCCAGAUGCACCAGACAAGGAACGCAGAUCCUCAAGGAUGUUGAAUAGAAGUGUUGCAAGUGCAUCCUUUCCUUGUUCCUGAUCUCAAAGAAAGUGCUGAAUAUCACAGAACACAAAGAAAAGAGGAGACACUGACAGAGCUUAUAAAUGUUGCACGAAGGUUCAGAUAUAAACAUUUCUGCUGGCUUUUUAAGGAGUACUGUGUUUCCUACAU
Molecule: long non-coding RNA, 222 nt
Organism: Tupaia belangeri chinensis (Chinese tree shrew)
Lineage: Eukaryota; Metazoa; Chordata; Mammalia; Scandentia; Tupaiidae
Exons: 3
Source: RefSeq, a predicted model, not a curated record